GUCUACGGCCAUGCCACCCUGAACAUGCCUGAUCCCGUCUGAUCUCAGAAGUUAAGCAGGGUUGGGGCUUGGUUAGUACUUAGAUGGGAGACCACCUAGGAAGACCAGGUGCUGUAGGCG
RNAcentral lists this ribosomal RNA (120 nucleotides) under Pteropus alecto (black flying fox). The record is from RNAcentral. Lineage: Eukaryota; Metazoa; Chordata; Mammalia; Chiroptera; Pteropodidae.